AUUGUUGUCACGGCCCAAGUGCCUGGGGCCAGGCCAAACGAAAGCCAAGGCCAAAGCUCACAAUUAUAAUACCGUACACAGGCACAAGCACACGCACACACUCUCUCUCUGUCUCUCUCUCUCCUGCAGCUACUUUUGAGACCCGUACGCAAAGCAAAUUUAUCCUUGGCACGCAAUCCAGCCAAGAUGCUGGGACGGGCCGAAAGAGUUGAGCCCCACACACAUAUUUACGCAUAUUGGCUGUAAAGCCACACGGCACAGGCAGAUCCUCAGGCAGAGGCACAGUCCCGCAGGCUAAGGCCGAAAACUCUUAAGCUUAGCGCCAAAACUUUGUGGUAUUGUUGUGUGUCCUUGGAGAAUUAUGCUGACAAGCAGCUGAGGCACAACACCAACAACAACAAUAACAAGGACAAUAGCCAACUACAGCUGCUCGAUACUUUUGCUUAUAGAUAUUCAACACAAUAUCUGACUAUGUG
This is a long non-coding RNA of Drosophila navojoa, 476 nucleotides long. NCBI's taxonomy places the organism in Eukaryota, Metazoa, Arthropoda, Insecta, Diptera, Drosophilidae. The record is from RefSeq and is a predicted model, not a curated record.